GCCCUCGUGGUGUAGUGGUCAGCACGCUCGACGCGUAUUCGAGAGGUCCGUGGUUCGAGCCCCGCGAGGGCA
Molecule: transfer RNA, 72 nt
Filed under: Stegodyphus mimosarum
Lineage: Eukaryota; Metazoa; Arthropoda; Arachnida; Araneae; Eresidae
Description: tRNA-Thr for anticodon CGU
Rfam family: tRNA
About the family: Transfer RNA (tRNA) molecules are approximately 80 nucleotides in length. Their secondary structure includes four short double-helical elements and three loops (D, anti-codon, and T loops). Further hydrogen bonds mediate the characteristic L-shaped molecular structure. tRNAs have two regions of fundamental functional importance: the anti-codon, which is responsible for specific mRNA codon recognition, and the 3' end, to which the tRNAs corresponding amino acid is attached (by aminoacyl-tRNA synthetases). tRNAs cope with the degeneracy of the genetic code in two manners: having more than one tRNA (with a specific anti-codon) for a particular amino acid; and 'wobble' base-pairing, i.e. permitting non-standard base-pairing at the 3rd anti-codon position.
Source: RNAcentral